GAGUUUGAUCUUGGCUCAGAUUGAACGCUGGCGGCAGGCCUAACACAUGCAAGUCGAGCGGUAGAGAGAAGCUUGCUUCUCUUGAGAGCGGCGGACGGGUGAGUAAUGCCUAGGAAUUUGCCUGGUAGUGGGGGAUAACGCUCGGAAACGGACGCUAAUACCGCAUACGUCCUACGGGAGAAAGCAGGGGACCUUCGGGCCUUGCGCUAUCAGAUGAGCCUAGGUCGGAUUAGCUAGUUGGUGAGGUAAUGGCUCACCAAGGCGACGAUCCGUAACUGGUCUGAGAGGAUGAUCAGUCACACUGGAACUGAGACACGGUCCAGACUCCUACGGGAGGCAGCAGUGGGGAAUAUUGGACAAUGGGCGAAAGCCUGAUCCAGCCAUGCCGCGUGUGUGAAGAAGGUCUUCGGAUUGUAAAGCACUUUAAGUUGGGAGGAAGGGCAGUAAAUUAAUACUUUGCUGUUUUGACGUUACCGACAGAAUAAGCACCGGCUAACUCUGUGCCAGCCGCCG
Molecule: ribosomal RNA, 513 nt
Filed under: uncultured bacterium
Lineage: Bacteria
Description: bacterial SSU rRNA
Rfam family: Bacterial small subunit ribosomal RNA
Source: RNAcentral